GUGGACUCUGUCUACAGCCACAUCUAUAUUACUUUCAUCUAUGCCUAUGUCAUAGAAUUCAGCCCAUUUGUCACAUCAAACACAACUCUUACUAAAGUAGACCUGGCAAUUGAGUUCAAUGACCGUGCUGCACCUGGAGAAACCCCACAGGCUAGCGAUGUCGCAACAGCUUUAGCAAGUGCUGUGUCCAAUCCCAACAACACCUUCAAUCUCACUGUUGUGUCCACUUCCAUUCAAGUAGUUGUACUGAAUGGGACGACAAGUCCAACAACUGAAGCCCCCGUCGUCACAACUACAGAAACCACUGAACAAACAACUGCCAGUGCUACACCUGCUUCAACAGCAGAGACGACAGCAGCUAAUUUCAACACUUCAGGGACCACAACAAUUUUCCUUCUCUCAGCUGUCCUGAAUACAGCAUAUGAAUCACAACUCAAUGACAACAACAGCGUUCAGUUCCAGAAUCUCCAAAGAGAAGUUGUACGAAUUGUGAGUACAAUGUCAAAACGGACAAAUGGCUUUAUAUUUGCCAAGUGGAUGACUUCAACAUGAAAAUCUUGACUAUUGAAUGUAAAUAGUGAAACAUUUUAAUAUGUUUCUAAUUUCCUGUCUGCUUUCCUCCCUCAGGUGGACUCUGUCUACAGCCACAUCUAUAUUACUUUCAUCUAUGCCUAUGUCAUAGAAUUCAGGUAAGACUUUGAGUUCUUGCCCUUGAAUGACUUUGGUUUUCUCUCUUUGUGCUAUUCACCACUAUCAUAAGUGAUUUAUUGCAAAGGAACCCAGUUCAUGGAUCAGUUGCACAUAUGAUUCACGACUAUCAAUAUGACGUCAUUGAAAUGUUCUUCUGUUUUGUGCAGCCCAUUUGUCACAUCAAACACAACUCUUACUAAAGUAGACCUGGCAAUUGAGUUCAAUGACCGUGCUGCACCUGGAGAAACCCCACAGGCUAGCGAUGUCGCAACAGCUUUAGCAAGUGCUGUGUCCAAUCCCAACAACACCUUCAAUCUCACUGUUGUGUCCACUUCCAUUCAAGCAGUUGUACUGAAAGUGAUGUCAAGUCCAACAACUGUAGCCCCCAUCGUCACUACUGCAGACACCACUCAACAAACAUCCCACAGUGCUACACCUGCUUCAACAACAGAGAAUAGGGUGACAACAACAGAGUCAGACAUUACGACUCCCACUACUACAACUCAUUCUCCUCCUCCUGCCACUACUACUACUAGUACUACUACUACUACUACUACUACUACUACUACCAGCACUACAACCCUGGCUCCCCCAGCAGUUAUAGUUGUCACAGCAGUUUUGGUUGUACCAUUUACACCACAACUCUCUGACAGAAACAGCAUUGGAUUUAAGACUCUGGAAGUACAGGUUGUUACAAUUUGGAAUGUCAUUCUAAGGUCCAGAUAUGGUGCUUCAUUUCUAGGUUCAUAUGUCAUACAAUUUAGAGAAGCUGUUACCACAACCAAAUCAGCUAAUACUGAAGCAGAUGUGGGAGUUAACUUCUCUAACAGAGUAGACCAGGUCCCACCCGCUGUUGAUGUGGCAAACCUAUUAGUAAUGUCUUUGUCCAACCCCAACAACACCUACAACCUUACUGUUGUUCCCUCAUCUGUCCAAGCACUUUAUUUAAAUGCAACAUCAAACGCAACAACAGUAUCACCUACACUGAACAGUGCAACUGGUGUAACAUCAACUGCGACAACAGUGCCACCUACAUUGAACAGCACCACAAGCAUACAAGUGUAUACAGCCACCAGUGGUACAUCUGGAACUAUGAGUCCUACUGCCUCUGCUGAAGCACUUACUACAAAGAAUCUUGUUUUCAGAUCUAAGGAAACAUUUACUAGUGACUUAAAUAAUCCAUCAUCUGUAGCAUAUAGAAAUCGAGCCUCACUGAUAACAACAACACUUACUCCUUUCUACAACAAAGCAUUUGAUUCCUUUAAGUCCAUCCAAGUGACUGAUUUCAGUAAUGGUUCCAUUUACAACAGACUAUUACUCCGUUUUGCAUCUGCAUCUGUUCCUAAUGACACUGCAAUUGGAGAAGUUUUGAUCAAAGCAGCUUCAAACAUCACUUCCUUUAACAUUGACAUCACAUACAUUUUUGUGGAUAACACUCAAGUGUCAAGUGGAAUAAGCCAGAGGGUCAGCAUCAUUACUGCAUCCUGCCUGGUGCUUCUGUCGUGGCUGCUAUCAAAUCAACAAUAGUGUCAAUGCUCAUGUUCAUCUCAGAUCGCAAUUAAGAAACUGACAUGAAAAAAAAGUUAUGUUGCUAUAUGUGAAACCUAUAAAUGAAGAAACCCACAAACACCACAAACUGAACUAUCAUCAUCAUCAUAAUACUGCAAUUAUGUUAUUUAAAAUAUAGUUAUCAUUAUUCAUGUUAAACUUUGUUGUGUUAUACUUAAUUGCCUGUAAGAGAUGCUUUUAUAUAAAAAAAAGCAGUCCAGUAAUAAAAAUGUGAAGAUAGGUUACA
Long non-coding RNA from Betta splendens (Siamese fighting fish), 2485 nucleotides. Ensembl annotates it as mucin-2-like. Lineage: Eukaryota; Metazoa; Chordata; Actinopteri; Anabantiformes; Osphronemidae. The record is from Ensembl.